RNAcentral lists this ribosomal RNA (524 nucleotides) under uncultured bacterium. RNAcentral's name for it is "partial 16S ribosomal RNA". It matches the Rfam family "Bacterial small subunit ribosomal RNA", at positions 28 to 523 of the family's 1533-position model. The record is from RNAcentral.
GACGAACGCUGGCGGCGUGCCUAAUACAUGCAAGUCGAACGCUUCUUUUUCCACCGGAGCUCGCUCCGCCGGAAAAAGAGGAGUGGCGAACGGGUGAGUAACACGUGGGUAACCUGCCCAUCAGAAGGGGAUAACACUUGGAAACAGGUGCUAAUACCGUAUAACAAUCAAAACCGCAUGGUUUUGAUUUGAAAGGCGCUUUCGGGUGUCGCUGAUGGAUGGACCCGCGGUGCAUUAGCUAGUUGGUGAGGUAACGGCUCACCAAGGCCACGAUGCAUAGCCGACCUGAGAGGGUGAUCGGCCACAUUGGGACUGAGACACGGCCCAAACUCCUACGGGAGGCAGCAGUAGGGAAUCUUCGGCAUUGGACGAAAGUCUGACCGAGCAACGCCGCGUGAGUGAAGAAGGUUUUCGGAUCGUAAAACUCUGUUGUUAGAGAAGAACAAGGAUGAGAGUAACUGUUCAUCCCUUGACGGUAUCUAACCAGAAAGCCACGGCUAACUACGUGCCAGCCGCCGCCGUAA